RNAcentral lists this long non-coding RNA (832 nucleotides) under Heterocephalus glaber (naked mole-rat). RNAcentral describes it as "lncRNA (ENSHGLG00100044696.1)". Lineage: Eukaryota; Metazoa; Chordata; Mammalia; Rodentia; Bathyergidae. The record is from RNAcentral.
AGAAGAUGCUGGUUCAGGUUCUGUGGCAGGGAUAGAACUCCGGUCCUUGCUCCACUAUUCAUGCUGAGUGCCUGACAUGUGCCAGGAUGGUAUCCCUUUCCCUACAGGUCCCUAUGUAAAUACCUGGCAUAGGGGUGAGAGAAGGAGGCUUGGAGAAGGAAGUGUACUCAGAGCAGGGUGGAGCAGGAUGGGCUGAUGGGGAGACCCCAUGUCUUUGGCCCUGCAGCAGAAGUGAACAGAAAGCCUUCCAGGGUCAGAGCUGUGGAUUACUAUCUCCUCCCACUAGGACCAGAAGAGGAAGGAAGUGGCCCUCCCUGAUCCUACAAUGCUAUGCAAAACUGAAGAUGUCAAAGAUUCUGUCCUCAGUGAGGCAAAAGGGCUUGGUUGGCCCCCUGUUGAUUAAAGAAGAUGGGAACCAUGUGAAAGCAGGAAUAGAAAAGUUAAAGCAGUCGUUCUUUCCAGAUGAGUCAGGGCCCUGAGUGGAAUGAGGAACACGCAUCUUGUUUGCUUUCGAACAAGGCAGGGCCCGGCAGGAGGACAACAGAGGACAAGAGAGUGUGGUGGAGCAAGGCCUGGAGCAAGGCCUGUCUUCCUCCUGCCCAUUUGCCAGAAAACUGUCACACAUGAUGUCCUGCAGACCUUAGCUACUCUCCUGGCUCCCGUUACAGACCAGCCCCUUUGACCUCCCCCUGCACUUCCGCUAUCUCUACCACUAUAAAUGAAUGUGCUAAAAGUGCCCGGUGGUCUUUUCUCCCAUCAGGAGGUAGAGCUCCACCUGGCCCCACCCUUUGUAUCUCUUUUUCUUUUCUUAAUCUCCCAUGUUAUUUCUCAC